AUCUCCGGCCAUGCCACUCUGAACGAGUCCGAUCCCAUUUGAUCUCAGAAGCUAAGGAGGGUCGGGCCUGGUUAGCACUUGAAUGGAGGACCACCUAGGAAUACCAACUAGAUGCUGUAGGCG
This 123-nucleotide ribosomal RNA is filed under the name Pteropus alecto (black flying fox). Lineage: Eukaryota; Metazoa; Chordata; Mammalia; Chiroptera; Pteropodidae. The record is from RNAcentral.